RNAcentral lists this non-coding RNA (409 nucleotides) under Drosophila persimilis. RNAcentral describes it as "Eukaryotic large subunit ribosomal RNA". It matches the Rfam family "Eukaryotic large subunit ribosomal RNA", at positions 1456 to 1888 of the family's 3401-position model. The record is from Rfam by way of RNAcentral. Lineage: Eukaryota; Metazoa; Arthropoda; Insecta; Diptera; Drosophilidae.
GGUAGUAGCAAAUAAUCGAAUGAGACCUUGGAGGACUGAAGUGGAGAAGGGUUUCGUGUGAACAGUGGUUGAUCACGAGUUAGUCGGUCCUAAGUUCAAGGCGAAAGCCGAAAAUUUUCAAGUAAAAAAUCAGUGAGUAAUAUUGUCAAAUCUUUUAUGAUUUUUAAAUACUUGAAUAAUUUUGAACGAAAGGGAAUACGGUUCCAAUUCCGUAACCUGUUGAGUAUCCGUUUGUUAUUAAAUAUGGGCCUCGUGCUCAUAGAUGGUAGAUGGGCUAGAAGAGCAUGACAUAUACUGUUGUGUCGAUAUGUCUCCUCGGACCUUGAAAAUGUAUGGUGGGGACACGCAAACUUCUCAACAGGCCGUACCAAUAUCCGCAGCUGGUUUCCAAUGUGAAGAGUCUCUAGUC